UACGAAGGGGGCUAGCGUUGCUCGGAAUCACUGGGCGUAAAGCGCACGUAGGCGGCCUGUUAAGUCGGGGGUGAAAUCCUGGGGCUCAACCUCAGAAUUGCCUCCGAUACUGGCAGUCUCGAGUGCGGGAGAGGUGAGUGGAAUUCCCAGUGUAGAGGUGAAAUUCGUAGAUAUUGGGAAGAACACCAGUGGCGAAGGCGGCUCACUGGCCCGUAACUGACGCUGAGGUGCGAAAGCGUGGGGAGCAAACAGG
This 253-nucleotide ribosomal RNA is filed under the name uncultured bacterium. Its description in RNAcentral is "partial 16S ribosomal RNA". It matches the Rfam family "Bacterial small subunit ribosomal RNA", at positions 524 to 776 of the family's 1533-position model. The record is from RNAcentral.